UGCAGAUGUAGGUCAGAGGUAGAGCACUUACCUAGCAUGCAUGAGACUCUGGCUUCAAUCCCCAGAACUGCAA
This 73-nucleotide transfer RNA is filed under the name Marmota monax (woodchuck). RNAcentral's name for it is "tRNA.Ala". Lineage: Eukaryota; Metazoa; Chordata; Mammalia; Rodentia; Sciuridae. The record is from RNAcentral.